CAGUAGCCACGGUAAAACGAGGGGGGCAAGCGCUGUUCGGAUUUAUUGGGCGUAAAGGGUGCGUAGGCGGUUUGGCAAGUCUUGUGUGAAAUCUAUGGGCUCAACCCAUAGCCUGCACGAGAAACUACCGGGCUUGUGUGAUGGAGAGGUGAGUGGAAUUUCCGGUGUAGCGGUGAAAUGCGUAGAUAUCGGAAGGAACACCUGUGGCGAAGGCAAUCCCCUGGGCCUGCACUGACGCUCAUGCACGAAAGCGUGGGGAGCGAACAGGAUUAGAUACCCGCGUAGUCCAUGUCUCUUAUAC
This 301-nucleotide ribosomal RNA is filed under the name uncultured bacterium. RNAcentral's name for it is "partial 16S ribosomal RNA". It matches the Rfam family "Bacterial small subunit ribosomal RNA", at positions 509 to 807 of the family's 1533-position model. The record is from RNAcentral.